This 69-nucleotide transfer RNA is filed under the name Echinostoma caproni. It matches the Rfam family "tRNA", at positions 7 to 64 of the family's 71-position model. From Rfam's summary of the family: Transfer RNA (tRNA) molecules are approximately 80 nucleotides in length. Lineage: Eukaryota; Metazoa; Platyhelminthes; Trematoda; Plagiorchiida; Echinostomatidae. The record is from Rfam by way of RNAcentral.
GAAGCUCAGCUGGUAGAGCGUGCGCGUACAAAGCGUAGGCGGCGUCCAUAUGUGGGUUCGAAUCCCACC